This 1012-nucleotide ribosomal RNA is filed under the name uncultured Peptococcaceae bacterium. Its description in RNAcentral is "bacterial SSU rRNA". It matches the Rfam family "Bacterial small subunit ribosomal RNA", at positions 128 to 1155 of the family's 1533-position model. The record is from RNAcentral. Lineage: Bacteria; Bacillati; Bacillota; Clostridia; Eubacteriales; Peptococcaceae.
GCCUAUCAGACUGGGAUAACACCGGGAAACCGGUGCUAAUACCGGAUACAAAUUUACUAACGCAUGUUAGGAAGUUGAAAAGUUAUUCGCUGAUAGAUGGAUCCGCGUCCCAUUAGCUAGUUGGUGGGGUAAAGGCCUACCAAGGCAACGAUGGGUAGCCGGCCUGAGAGGGUGAACGGCCACACUGGGACUGAGACACGGCCCAGACUCCUACGGGAGGCAGCAGUGGGGAAUAUUCCGCAAUGGGGGAAACCCUGACGGAGCGACGCCGCGUGAGGGAAGAAGGUUUUCGGAUUGUAAACCUCUGUUCUAUGGGAAGAAGAAGUGACGGUACCAUAGGAGUAAGCCCCGGCUAACUACGUGCCAGCAGCCGCGGUAACACGUAGGGGGCAAGCGUUGUCCGGAAUUACUGGGCGUAAAGGGCGCGUAGGCGGCCUAUUAAGUUAGAGGUGAAAGGCCAGGGCUCAACCCUGGAGUUGCCUCUAAAACUGGCAGGCUUGAGUGCAGGAGAGGGAAGUGGAAUUCCUAGUGUAGCGGUGAAAUGCGUAGAUAUUAGGAGGAACAUUAGUGGCGAAGGCGGCUUCCUGGUCUGUAACUGACGCUGAGGCGCGAAAGCGUGGGUAGCAAACAGGAUUAGAUACCCUGGUAGUCCACGCCGUAAACGAUGAGUGCUAAGUGUUGGAGGUAUCGACCCCUUCAGUGCUGCAGUUAACGCAAUAAGCACUCCGCCUGGGGAGUACGGUCGCAAGACUGAAACUCAAAAGAAUUGACGGGGGCCCGCACAAGCGGUGGAGCAUGUGGUUUAAUUCGACGCAACGCGAAGAACCUUACCAGGACUUGACAUCCUCUGAUUGACCUAGAGAUAGGUAGUUCUCUUCGGAGACGGAGAGACAGGUGGUGCAUGGUUGUCGUCAGCUCGUGUCGUGAGAUGUUGGGUUAAGUCCCGCAACGAGCGCAACCCUUACCGUUAGUUGCCAGCACGUAAAGGUGGGAACUCUAGCGGAACUGCCGU